This 253-nucleotide ribosomal RNA is filed under the name uncultured bacterium. Its description in RNAcentral is "partial 16S ribosomal RNA". It matches the Rfam family "Bacterial small subunit ribosomal RNA", at positions 524 to 776 of the family's 1533-position model. The record is from RNAcentral.
UACGAAGGGGGCGAGCGUUGUUCGGAUUUACUGGGCGUAAAGGGCGCGUAGGCGGCGGGUCAAGUCGAGUGUGAAAGCCCCGGGCUCAACCUGGGAAUUGCGCUCGAGACUGGUCUGCUUGAGUUCGGGAGAGGAGAGUGGAAUUCCCAGUGUAGAGGUGAAAUUCGUAGAUAUCGGGAGGAACACCGGUGGCGAAGGCGGCGACCUGGGUCGAGACUGACGCUGAGGCGCGAAAGCGUGGGGAGCAAACAGG